Molecule: long non-coding RNA, 711 nt
Organism: Lates calcarifer (barramundi perch)
Lineage: Eukaryota; Metazoa; Chordata; Actinopteri; Centropomidae
Exons: 6
Source: RefSeq, a predicted model, not a curated record
AUGAGCCAACACCAAGUUCGGUCAGCACAGUACAUCCAAGUAUAGAUGGGGAUUCCUGAGGGGAGAAAACAAAGGAAAAAUGUGAGCGAGGAGUUAAGAAGACGCAGAGAUGCCAGUGUCUUUAAAAGGAGCAAUCGCUGCCUUAUGUAACUCUGGCUCGUAGCUGCAGUCUGCCAUCACCUCCGGACACAGCAGGGAGUUUCUGAAGUGUCAGGUAUCAUCCUUGGUGCUGCCCGGGCAGAACGGGACUGCUGGGGUGGAGGAACCACCAGUUCCUGGGAGGCUAGAGUGGAGAGAGAGAUUGUGAUUGAUUUCUCGCUGAGGUGACACUGAUUCACAUCUACACAGGCAGAGGAGGCUUCCAUCAUUAGCUCGGCUACACCAGCAGGUGGCAGAUGCCCCAUAAGAGGCAUUCUGGAGGCUGGAGGGCAGCUGUAGGACUAAAGUCCACUGAGCCAAGAGGAGACGUCUGCACCAACCGUCUGUCAGUCUGUGUCACACAUCUGAGGAGCAACAGAAUCACUGGAGGCUUACAGCAGAAAUAUUAGCUUAAUCCACCUACAAAAAUAUGAGCAAUGGACUGGUUAAAGCUGCACUUGACCACCAUGAGGUUUAAAGACUCCGUAGCUACCCCGCUGCAGCAGAACCUUGAGAAGCUUCCAGGAGCUAGAGAGCGACAUGAGCCUUCUUUUAGAGUAAGUAAAGUAUUUA